This 6819-nucleotide long non-coding RNA is filed under the name Solanum tuberosum (potato). Its description in RNAcentral is "long non-coding RNA (STUB_LNC011867)". The record is from RNAcentral. Lineage: Eukaryota; Viridiplantae; Streptophyta; Magnoliopsida; Solanales; Solanaceae.
AAAAAGAGAAGACCAUUGCCUGAUUACCUUGAGAAGGUUCAGAAGGAUGUGAGUGCAAACAUGAGAGGGAUUUUGGUGGACUGGUUGGUGGAAGUUGCAGAGGAAUACAAGCUUCUAUCGGAUACGUUGUAUCUUGCUGUUUCCUACAUUGAUAGAUUCUUAUCAGUGAGUGUCAUCCCUAGGCAAAGACUUCAGCUUUUGGGUGUUUCUUCGAUGCUUAUUGCUGCGUAAGUAUUGUAGCCAAGAACUGGUUUUAUUUUGGCAGUGUGUUUAUUGUGUAAUUUUGGUUGUGAAUCUAAUAUAAUCUGUUGAUUAUGAUCAGGAAGUACGAGGAAAUUAAGCCGCCAAAUGUUGAGGACUUUGCUUACAUUACAGACAACACAUUUACAAAGAAAGACGUGGUGAAUAUGGAGGCUAGUGUUCUACAAUCCCUCAAAUUUGAAAUGGGAAAUCCCACAACCAAAACAUUUCUCGGAAGAUUUACUAGGAUUGCCCAAGAAGGUUACGAAGUAAGUACAAAUAUGACACAAACAUUAUGAUAUUCAAGUCAACUUUGUUUCCGAUAACUGUUUGCUCAUGCUACCUAUUCUGCUUUCCGUAGAACGUUGAUUUGCAGUUAGAGUUUCUCGGUUACUACCUAGCAGAGUUAAGUUUAUUGGAUUACAACUGUGUGAAAUUCUUGCCGUCUUUGGUAGCCGCUGCUGUGAUAUUCCUUUCAAGGUUCACAUUACAACCAAAGUCACAUCCUUGGGUGAGGAUUUUGAUCCAAUGUUUGUUUAUAUUUAGUACCUUGAUAUAUGGAAACAUUGAUAACUAACUCUAUCCAUUUUGUAGAGUUUGGCCCUUCAACGUUGCUCGGGAUAUAGACCAGUGGAUCUAAAGGAAUGUGUUCUUAUCAUUCACGACUUACAAUUAAGUAGACGAAGAAGUAAUUUGUCAGCUGUGAGGGACAAAUACAAGCUGCAUAAGGUAUCAAUUCGUGCAUUGUUGAUAAUUGGUGAUUUUGUUGUAGAUGCCUGUAUAGUUCAGUAAUCUGAUGUGAACAUUUGUAUGAUUUUCUUGUAACAGUUCAAAUGUGUGGCAACAUUGUCUUCUCCUCUCGAAAUACCAAACUCAUUCUUCGAAGAUACAAGACAAUGAUUUCUCGGGCUCUCGAGCAUAUGCUUGGAAAUUGUAACGAGAUGCUACGACGAUACGGGGAAGCUGGUUUAUGCUGAUCUGAGGGCACCAUUAACCUGAGUUUUCAUUUUAUUAGAUCAGGAAUAGUUAUUAAGAUAUAUGAAAGUUAUAGCAAGUAGCUAGUAAAAAUGAUGAUUCUUCUACAUGGUUGCAUUGAGUGAUGAUUGGAAUUUAGUACAGAGACAUUAUUUAUUCUUGUAAUAAGAUGAAUACAAUUAUCUAGAAUUUUUUGUAUGGCCAAAUAUUGCAUUAUGCAAUAAUAUUAAUGGUCAAAAACAUAUUUGGACUAUCAAUUGUAUUAAAACACAUCUCACUUCGAAGUGUUCAACAUGUGCGGUGCACCUAUUAUGGAUUAAAAAUAAAUAUUUGACCAAUUUAACAUUGACAUGUAUUUAAUGUUGGAAAAUUAUUUAAAGCCCUUUUAUUAGCCAUUAGUUACUCCUUAAAUACAAAAGUGUAUAACAAACUUUCUAUAGCUUUUGUUCCAUUAUUAUUUGAGUUCUACUCUGAAAUAUAUUCUUAGGGAUCGUUUGGUAGAUUGCAUUGAAAAAAAUUAAUGUAUGUAUUAGCUUUGUUUGAUAUAUUAUUUCACUCUAUGUAUAACUAAUGCAAGUAUUAGUUAUACAUUCUAUUUGGUUUUGUGAUACUAUAUAUAUAUAUAACAAAUACAUGGGAAAUUAUGAUAUUAGCAAUGCAAAGAUUUAAUGCAUGCAAUUAGCAUGGUUACACAAUUACAUCUUAAAACAUUUUUACAUCAUUACCAUCAUAUUUGUGGAGGAUAAUUUUGUAAGCAACUUUUUUUAGAAAUUAUGCGAUGCAUGUUAUUUUUAAUAUACGGAACCAUAUACUACAUAUAUAGUAAGUAAUAUCAGCAUAACUAAUACAUCAUAUUCAACACUAUACUUAUACACUCUAUCAUAUGACCUCUUAGUCAUUUCAUUUGGUGGAAGAAGAGAAGAUAAAUGAACACAAACUCUUCCUCUCAUAUGAUAUUGUGUUGGAGUUCUCUUCCUUAAAAGAAUCUUUUUUAGUUAUUGUGCUCCUAAUUUUAUAUUAGAAGAACUUGUUGAAUACACUUAUAUCGGAUGAAAUAUAUUUAAGAACAAUAUUAUUGACACAUCUCAACUAUGAGAAUUCUUUGCAUAUUUUGUGACAUUUUUUUUUACGUAAGAUUUGCAACAUCCAAUGCAAAGAAAGUGAUAGUUUAGGUAGAUAAAAAGAUUAAUAGUUAAGGCAUGAAACUCACAAAAAAGUGUUAAUUUAAAUUUAUUUUUGACCAUUAAUUAUACUUUGCUUGGAUGGUUGUUCCACAUUGUUUUUAAUGUGUCGUAUUAUGUUGUGUUGUACAUAUCAUAUUGUAUUGUUUUGAUGAAUACACGAUUUGAAUAGAUUGUAUCGUUUUCUGUCGUUACAUAAUGUCAUGCAUCAAUAAUUUGAUGAUAAACCUACGAGAAAAGUAGAAUAAGGUGUAGAGAUACCAUAAAGAUAUAAUUAAGAUGAAGGAUUGUAGAAUAUUAAAUCAUAAGUAGAGAUAAAGUGAGAAAAAAAAGGUAAGACACAGGCACACCAAAUUGAUUAUUAUAUAAAAUGAGACUUUUUCGUCAUUUUCUAAGAUAUAUGAACACAAACUCUUUCUCUGGUAUGAUAUUGUGUUGGGUUUUCUUCGUUACAUAAUCUUUGUUAGUUUUUGUUCUUCUAAUUUUAUAUUAGAAGAGCUCGUUAAGUCCUGAAGGAUAUAUCUACGGCAAGUAAAAUAUCCUUAAAGACAAUAUCUCAACAGGUUUCGUGAUAAGAUAUUCUUUACAAGAUUUGCAACAUUAAAUAAAAAGAGAGUGAUAAUAUAGGUAGAUAAAGUGAACAAUGAAUAAUUAAGGUAUGAAAGUCAUAAGAAAAUGAUACUCCCUUCUCCAACAAUAGUUGACCACUAUACUAUUUUGGCAUGUCCAUUUAUGAAAUCAAUGGAUACUUUUACACUUAUCAUUAAUUAUAGUCAUUUUCCUAUUAUAUUUUUAAGACAUUGUUUAUUAUAUUCAAAGGGUGCUAUAGUAAAAUUACCAUUCUAUUUCUAUUUAUAUAUUUUUAACAAGUGUGCAAAUUUAAUAGUAAACAACAAUUGUUGGUCAAAGAGAGUAACUUAAAUAUGUUUUUGACCAUUAGUUACACUCUGCUUGGAUGGUUGUUACACAUUAUUCCACCAUUGUAUCAUAUUGUAUUAUUUUAAUGAAUACAACAUUGAAUAUACUGUAUUAAUUUCCAUCGUUACAUAAUGUCAUACAUCAAACAAUUUAAAGAAUAAACCUAAAAGAAAACUAGAGUACAACGUAAAAUUACGAUCAUUAAAUUAAACAUUAAGAUCAAAUAAGAAAAAAAAGAGAGUCUUUUUCAUCAUUAUCUAACAAUAUUUUUAACAAUAAGGGGCCGUUUGGUUACUGGAUAAGGGCAACGUUAAUACAUGAAUAACUUUGUUAUUCAUGUAUUAAUUUUGUACCACGUUUGGUUUGUAAAUAGAAUCAAAAUUAUUCAUGUAUAAAUUUUAACAAUGUUUGGUUGGUGUGUCUCCAAUGUUGUAUAAAAGUUAUACAUGUAUUGAUUUUAUGUGGUGUUUGGUUGUAUUUUUGUAAUGCCACAUAGCUAAUACUUACAUAACUUAUGAAGAAAUCUAUGUAUAAUUUUAUGCAGGGGUAGAGGGUGAAAUAAGUUAUGAGGGUAUUAGUUAUACAUGGAUUAAAUUAAUAAAAAUUACAUAUUUACCCUUAAUUUGUUUUCUUACUUAUUUGUUUGUAAAUAAUAAUGUAUAUUAAUUUACAAAAUUAAGGAGUUAUAUAUCUUCUUUUUAAAAAGGCAUAAUACAUAUAUUGGACCCUAAACUUGGCUUCAAAUUUUAACUUUGACCUCCAACUUUCAUAGUGCACAAACAGACACUUUAACUAUCCAAUCUUUUAAUAAAUAAACACGCGAAUCCUACUUGGCAAAACGCGUGAUGUGCACGUAUUUUGCGCGAGUUAGGAGUAAUUUUCGAGUCCCACAACAGUAAAAACCUCCCUUUUCCGGCCAGCAAACACCACUUGAAACCACCCAAAACCUCCAUUCAUUUUCUUCUUCUCCGCUCCGCUCACGCCACCACCAGCGAGCCAGCUUCAACCUCAAACAACCAGCAGCUCCCAACUCCAAACACCUCCAACCCAGCUGUUCUCCUUCUUCCUCCACACCGGAGCACAACCCAUGAAGCGAACGAGCUUCGAGCUCGCUAAACCAACCAAAUACCCGACCCCAAACCCAUCAAAUCCGCCAUCUCCGGCGAGAAUCAUCAUGAAACAACACUGCUGCAACCAGCAGCUCGAACCAAACACAAAACAGCAACCAAAUGACCCCUCAAACCCUAUGAAAACAGACCCAACAACCACAAACACCUAAACCAAGAAGCCAACCAUCAACAAACNNNNNNNNNNNNNNNNNNNNNNNNNNNNNNNNNNNNNNNNNNNNNNNNNNNNNNNNNNNNNNNNNNNNNNNNNNNNNNNNNNNNNNNNNNNNNNNNNNNNNNNNNNNNNNNNNNNNNNNNNNNNNNNNNNNNNNNNNNNNNNNNNNNNNNNNNNNNNNNNNNNNNNNNNNNNNNNNNNNNNNNNNNNNNNNNNNNNNNNNNNNNNNNNNNNNNNNNNNNNNNNNNNNNNNNNNNNNNNNNNNNNNNNNNNNNNNNNNNNNNNNNNNNNNNNNNNNNNNNNNNNNNNNNNNNNNNNCCACCCCACCCCCGAGGGACUGUUGCAUUUUAUUUAUUUUGGAUACUGCUUGUUUAUAAGCAUGGAUUUUCUAAUUUCCGACUUUUUAAAAAAAGUAUAUUAAUUUACAAUAAAUUAAAUAAUCAAUAAGUUAUAAUUUAUGUAAUAUAAUUUCUACAUAACUAAAUCCUACAUAAAUAAUAUCUACGAAACUAAUAUUUGUAUAAUUAAUACCUACAUAACUAAUACAUGCAUAACUAAAUCCUGCAUAACUAAUACCUGCAUAACUAAAUCCUACAUAACUAAUACAUGCAUAAAAAUUCAUAGAUUCUCUCAUAACUACUCCCUGUAUUACUAGUAUCUACAUUUUAAAGUUACGUGGCAUAGUUUGACUCUGCACGAAUGGUGUAAGAAAAUUACCUUUUAAGUUAGUGGAUGACGAAAUAUAUAAUUAAAGAAGCGGGUAUAUAUGGAGGGAACCCAAAACUCACUUUUUAAAAUUUCGAUCUGAAAAAAAAAAAGUAACCAAAAAUUUGCCGCAACAAGACAACCCCUUAAAACCAAAAAUUCCCAAAAACUCAAAUCCAUCUGAAAAUUUCCCUCAAAAACACUCACUCUGCUGAAUAUAUGGCGCCAUAUAUAUACAUACACUCAUCUCUCUUUCCCUUCCUCAGCCUACUCUUCCUCUCUUACCCUACCCACCCCCACCCCCAAACACAGAGAGAGGAAAAGGGAGUUGCAAGAAAUGGCAGAUCAAGAAAAUUUUGUUAGAGUUACAAGAUUAGCCAAGAAAAGAGCAGCAGAAGCAAUGGUUCAGCAUUUGCAACAACCCAACAAGAAGAGAGUUGUGUUGGGUGAGAUUCAAGAUUUGUCUAAUGAGGGUAUUAUCAAAUCUAGGAAGACUAUUAAGAGGAAGGUGAAAAGAUCUGUUACUGAGAAAGAUAAGGAAUUUGAUGUUGAUGUUAAUUUGGAUGAUGAUCCUCAGAUGUGUGGUGCUUAUGCUUCUGAUAUUUAUGAUUAUUUUCAUCAAUUGGAGGUUAGUGUUUUUGCUCAUUUCAAUAAAUUUUGUGUCUUUUGAACUUUAAUCAGUUAGAUCUUAGUGAUUAAGUAUGUUUUGCAUUUCGUAUAUGUUUAUUGGAGUAAAUAAAUUUAAAAGUGAAAUUUUUAAUUGGGUGUUACUUAAUAGAGCUUGAUUUGGUUUCUAAUUGAUGAUUUUGCCAAUGGGUACUCUAAAGAUUGGAUUUUUAGCAAAUGGGUUGUGGUUAAUAUCAUUGAAAUAUCAAAUCUUGUUAAUAGAGCUUGAUUUGGUUUGGUUUCUUAUUGAUGAUUUUGCAAAUGGGCAAUCUAAAGAUUUGAUUUUUGGCAAAUGGGUUGUGGUUAAUAUCAUUGAAUUAUCAACUCUUGUUUAAUUGGGUGUUACCUAAUAGAGCUUGAUUUGGUUUCUUAUGGAUGAUGUUGCAAAUGGGUACACUAAAGAUUGGAUUUUUGGCAACUGGGUUGUGGUUAGUAUUAAUGAAUUAUCAAAUCUUGUUGAAUUGGGUAAUUACCUAAUAGUAGCAGAGCUUGAUUUGGUUUCUUAUUGAUGAUUUUGCAAAUGAGCACACUAAAGAUUGGAUUUUGGCAAGUGGGUUGUGGUUAAUUUAUCAAAUCUUGAUUGGAUUUGAUAUUUGGGUUUUUGAGUUUUUGACUUACUCUGUGGUUUUUCAAAUCAGAUUGAGAAAAAGAGAAGACCAUUGCCUGAUUACCUUGAGAAGGUUCAGAAGGAUGUGAGUGCAAACAUGAGAGGGGUGUUGGUCGACUGGCUGGUCGAAGUUGCAGAGGAAUACAAGCUUCUAUCGGACACGUUGUAUCUUACUGUUUCACACAUUGACAGAUUCUUAUCACUGAAUGUUAUCCCUAGGCAAAGGCUUCAGCUUUUGGGUGUUUC